CCUUGUUCAGACUACGAAGUUAUAACAUGAUACAAGCAACGUGAUAUUCCAAUAUCACGAAACCGUUCACACUGGAUGUUUGGUGAUAUUGCUUGACAGGCAUCGAAGAACCUGCAACCCGGAAACUACGUCGGAACAUAUCGAUUGAACUCCGAUAGGAUCACACCGCAGCAUCCAGAAGAACGACAAGGAAAUUUGGUCAAAGAUUUUAAAUCCCCACUCGGUUGCCCAGCAUGUUCACAAACGCGAGCGGUAUAAUAGAUUGCUGUUCGUCUAUUCCUUGGAUCCUGGAAAUAACUGCUUCUGUCGGGAAUUCAGGAGGAUUCUUCCAGAAAUGCUGUUCAUACUCCCUUGAAUUCCUCAAGUAACUCCUUCUGGGGAUUCCUCAGAAAUUCUUUCCGUAGAUUCCUUCAGGAAAUACCCAUAGAAAUUCCAUACGGGGAUUCCUUCUAAAAUCUCUUCCAGGAAUUGCUUCCGUGGAUUCCACCAAAAGUUCCGUCCGGGGAUUUCACCAAGGAUUCCUUCCGAUGAUUUCGCCAGGAAUUCCAUUCGAGGAUUCCACCAGGGUUUCCUUCAGGGAAUUCCUUCCUGGGAUUCCACCAGGCAUUCAUUCGGGGAUUCCACCAUGAAAUACUUAAGGGGAUUCCACCAGGAAUUCCAUUCGGGGAUUCUAUCAGGAAAUCCAUCGGGGAUUCCUUCAAGAAUGUCUUCGGGUAUUCCACCAGAAAUUACUUCCGGGGAUUUCACCAGCAACCCAACUAACAUUUAUUGUGAAUGUAAACGUCAACAAAGCGUCCUCAAUACGGCUUGAUGCUGAGUUACUGUGUUGUACAUAUAGAUGGAAGCUUCUAUGCAAGCCCUAUACCAAUGAAUCUGGCGAACUUAAUCAGCAUGUAUAUGCUGUGCGAGAAGCUUCUAUGCCACCAAGUCAUACCCAACUAACAUUUAUUGUGAAUGUAAACGUCAACAAAGCGUCCUCAAUACGGCUUGAUGCUGAGUUACUGUGUUGUACAUAUAGAUGGAAGCUUCUAUGCAAGCCCUAUACCAAUGAAUCUGGCGAACUUAAUCAGCAUGUAUAUGCUGUGCGAGAAGCUUCUAUGCCACCAAGUCAUAGCUCUUUUCUCGGCUCCUAUGUAACCACUAACUGAAUAACAUAUUGAGAAGGCGCUUUUUCAGCCUUUUCGCAGUUGUUAAAUAAUAGUUAUACGGCAUCCCCAAAUUAAACGUUUAAAUAUAAUUAGGUUAUGGAUAUCGUGACGCAAUACAUGUGGAACUGGAAUUAUCACUUUUAAAAUUGAAUAAUUAAAGUACUUGCCGCUAUUUGGAAUCGAACUCCCGAUCUCCGUAUCCACUGGUCCCGAUGAUGUCCUCGCUGCCACACUGCUAUAUAUAAAUAACAUAGAAAAUAGCCCGUUUUGUUUUACUCCAGACAAGGCUUCAUAAUUGUGCCACAAGAAACCUUACCCAACUUCAU
This is a long non-coding RNA of Aedes albopictus (Asian tiger mosquito), 1474 nucleotides long. RefSeq lists it as uncharacterized. The transcript is spliced from 2 exons. NCBI's taxonomy places the organism in Eukaryota, Metazoa, Arthropoda, Insecta, Diptera, Culicidae. The record is from RefSeq and is a predicted model, not a curated record.